CAGACCUCUAAUCGAAAA
RNAcentral lists this ribosomal RNA (18 nucleotides) under Hymenodontopsis vallis-gratiae. RNAcentral describes it as "25S ribosomal RNA". RNAcentral also lists the same sequence under 3 other names. Lineage: Eukaryota; Viridiplantae; Streptophyta; Bryopsida; Aulacomniales; Aulacomniaceae. The record is from RNAcentral.